RNAcentral lists this ribosomal RNA (468 nucleotides) under uncultured bacterium. RNAcentral's name for it is "partial 16S ribosomal RNA". It matches the Rfam family "Bacterial small subunit ribosomal RNA", at positions 28 to 507 of the family's 1533-position model. The record is from RNAcentral.
GACGAACGCUGGCGGCGUGCUUAACACAUGCAAGUCGAACGGAAAGGCCCUGCUUUUGUGGGGUGCUCGAGUGGCGAACGGGUGAGUAACACGUGAGUAACCUGCCCUUGACUUUGGGAUAACUUCAGGAAGCUGGGGCUAAUACCGUAUAGGAGCUCCGUCUGCAUGGUGGGGGUUGGAAAGUUUCGGCGGUUGGGGAUGGACUCGCGGCUUAUCAGCUUGUUGGUGGGGUAGUGGCUUACCAAGGCUUUGACGGGUAGCCGGCCUGAGAGGGUGACCGGCCACAUUGGGACUGAGAUACGGCCCAGACUCCUACGGGAGGCAGCAGUGGGGAAUAUUGCACAAUGGGCGGAAGCCUGAUGCAGCAACGCCGCGUGCGGGAUGACGGCCUUCGGGUUGUAAACCGCUUUCGCCUGGGACGAAGCGAGAGUGACGGUAAUGGGUAAAGAAGCACCGGCUAACUACGUG